AGGAUGAGGUGAAGGUGUCUUCAUCUGAGGAUGAGGUGAAUGUAUCUUCAUUUAAAGAUUUUCUAGUGGUGAGCUCUCUCUUCUUGAAAUAGUACCUUAGGACUAGUCUCGAAAUAGAACCUCGAAGCUAGUCGAAGAGGAUCCUCCUUCUAGCAUCAAUUAUUACUGCCGAUCUUCCCGCCUGAGGUCAAACACCGAGGUGGAUGUGGCUGAGGUGAAUCUACCGUUGGGGCUUCGCUCAAGCACCUGUAAAAUAAGUCCACACUGGGACUCCAGUGUAGACCUUCCGACGCUCAAGUCAGGAGAUGGAGAAUGAUGAGAGGAGAGAAUUAGGAGUU
RNAcentral lists this long non-coding RNA (338 nucleotides) under Elaeis guineensis (African oil palm). RNAcentral describes it as "long non-coding RNA (EGUI_LNC010791)". Lineage: Eukaryota; Viridiplantae; Streptophyta; Magnoliopsida; Arecales; Arecaceae. The record is from RNAcentral.